UACGAAGGGGGCUAGCGUUGCUCGGAAUCACUGGGCGUAAAGGGUGCGUAGGCGGGUCUUUAAGUCAGGGGUGAAAUCCUGGAGCUCAACUCCAGAACUGCCUUUGAUACUGAAGAUCUUGAGUUCGGGAGAGGUGAGUGGAACUGCGAGUGUAGAGGUGAAAUUCGUAGAUAUUCGCAAGAACACCAGUGGCGAAGGCGGAUCUCUGGGCCUGUCCUGACGCUCAGGCGCGAAAGCUAGGGGAGCAAACAGG
Molecule: ribosomal RNA, 253 nt
Filed under: uncultured bacterium
Lineage: Bacteria
Description: partial 16S ribosomal RNA
Rfam family: Bacterial small subunit ribosomal RNA
Source: RNAcentral